GAAUUGAGCUCCGACGGAGA
This 20-nucleotide small nuclear RNA is filed under the name Arabidopsis thaliana (thale cress). RNAcentral's name for it is "snRNA_15432". Lineage: Eukaryota; Viridiplantae; Streptophyta; Magnoliopsida; Brassicales; Brassicaceae. The record is from RNAcentral.